RNAcentral lists this unclassified non-coding RNA (2886 nucleotides) under Nilaparvata lugens (brown planthopper). RNAcentral's name for it is "metal transporter CNNM2, transcript variant X1". The record is from RNAcentral. Lineage: Eukaryota; Metazoa; Arthropoda; Insecta; Hemiptera; Delphacidae.
UCUCAAGGAUCCCUGUUUACGAGACGGCGCGUCAUAAUAUCAUCACGAUGUUCUUCAUAAAAGACCUGGCGCUGGUCGACCCUGAUGAUAACAUACCCUUGAAGACGUUGUGCCAGUUCUAUGAAAACCCCUGCUACUUUGUCUUCGAAGACACCACGCUCGAUAUACUGUUCAAGCAGUUCAAGGAAGGAAACAGAGGUCAUAUGGCAUUCGUACACCGCGUGAAUUCUGAAGGAGACGGCGAUCCUUUCUAUGAAACCGUUGGUAUCAUAACUCUGGAGGAUGUCAUUGAGGAAAUAAUUCAGGCGGAAAUUAUGGACGAAACAGAUGUUUGGACCGAUAACAGGUCUAAACACAGGCGGGGCUCUAGAAGGAACCCAAAACAAGAUUUUACAAAGUUUGCCGAGCGAAGCGAGAUCCAGCGAAUUCAUAUUUCGCCGCAACUCACGUUGGCUACAUUCCAGUACUUGAACACUUCUUGCGAGCCGUUCAAGUCGGAAUUCAUCUCGGAAUCAGUCCUGAGUCGUCUCCUGCGGCAGGACAUCAUCCACCAGAUCAAGGUGCGUAAGGACAAGUCGCGAAAGGACGACCCACACCUGGUGAUCUACCAGCAGGGCAGACCGGUCGACUUCUUCAUCCUGAUCCUGGAGGGGAGGGUGGAGGUGACCGUGGGCAGGGAGAACCUCAUCUUCGAGAGUGGGCCGUUCACCUACUUUGGACUGCAGGCGCUCACGCAGACUGUUGGCGUUGCUGAAUCACCGACUGGUACGGCCACCUCACACAGCCAAUCCCAGCAGCUGGGCAGCUUGCAGAGUGUGAACCUGGACUUGAUGCUGCGUCACUCGUUUGUGCCGGAUUACACCGUACGCGCAGUGACGGACAUCUUCUAUUUGCGCGUGCGCCGCUCGCUCUACCUGGCCGCCAAACGUGCCACCCUCAUGGAGCGCUGCAAGAAGAACGAGGAAGUCGUCAGCAGCGGCGAUGUAUUUGACGAUGAGGUCGAGAAACUUCUUCAUUCCCUAGACGAUGAUGAUACUAGAAGCCAAGGCUCACCGGAACAAGUUCGCACCAGAACCCAGGGUCAGUCGUCAGGCCACACCAGUCCAAGCUCCUCUCAACGGCCCGGGUCGGAGCCAACUAACAACGGUCACCUGUUGACAGCCGCUUCAGAGCCAAUUCUCGGCCUGUCUCCGUCGCGCACCCCACCGCGCAUCCCCACUGCGCAUCGCAAUGCCGCGCAUGCGCCGAACAUUGAUCCCGAACGCACCUCGCUGCUGGGUGGGUCCAACGCUUCCCCCACCCCGCCCACUCCUCCCAGUCCGCCGCCGUCAUAGCAGUCAGCUGACAAUAGUGCCAUGUCAGCGGAAAGUCAGUGAAGUACCGGAACCUGAAGUAAUCUUGGUUAGGUUAGGUUAGCGAGCUGUAAUCUUAUGAUAGUGCUGUGUCAACGGAAAUUUAGUGAAGUAACCCAAAGUGAUCUUGGUUAGGUUAGGUUUACAAACUGUUAACUGGUAAUAGUGCUGUGCCAGCAGAAAUUCAGUGAAAUAACCUAAAGUAAUCUUGGUUAGGUUAGGUUAGAGAACUGAAAUCUGGUAACAGUGCUGUGUCAGCAGAAAUUCAGUGAUGUAACCUACAGUAAUCUUGGUUAGGUUAGCAAACUAUAAUCUGAUAAUAGUGUAUCAUCAGCAGAAAUUCGCCAUCUUGGUUGGGUUAGGUUUGCAAAUGAUAAUGCAGUCCUGAUGGAACAGAGCAUGAAGUAAUCCAAAGAAUUCUGGUAAGGUUAGGUUUGGUUAGGAAACAGUAUGUUUGGUGGAUUGGAGGGCAAAGUAAUCUAAAUAAUGACCUUUGUCAGGCUACAUUAUAAAAUGCUUCUCAAUUUCCCGAAAUUGACUCUUCCCUUUCGAAUUUUCUAAAUUCAGUCUUUUCUGAAAAAGACUAUUGCUUUUUUCUCACUACAAUAACUGCAAUUCACCAAAAAGUAAUUUAGUGUCAUCUUUAUCCUGUUUUCAUCAGCUUCGUUUUUGAAGCAAUAAACAUUUAAUAAUCCAACACAAACUAACCUAACUUAACCAUAUCAAGUUGGAUAGUUCUCCUCAUUUGGUCAAAAUAGAUGUAUUGUCAUUUCCAUGAUGUAAUCUGCUUUCUUAUUGAAGCAGCCCAUACAGUAACCUAACCUAACUAGAUCAAGUUGAAUAGUUCUCCUCAAUAUUGAUUGAAAAUAUUGUAUUGUCAUUUCCACUGUGUCGUCUGCUUUUGUAUUGAAGCAGGUAAUUCAGUAACCUAACCUAACCAAGGCUGCUUUAGCGUGUUCAACCUUGGUUCGUUUAGGUCAGGUUAGGUAAUGUUCCUUGGAAAGUUUGACUGCACUGGACAGCUUAAUUACUUAAAUAGUUUACCCCUAACUUGAAAUAGUAUAAUUUGUUAAAAUCUAUACUAUAGUAUAAUGGUAAAAUCUUAAAUAGUAUUACCAUCUAUGCUUGUAGAUAGUUUAUCACUAUGCAUUAUUUCACACUAUUUGUUAUAUUGUUAGGUUAGGUUGCAGAUCAGUCGUUUGGUCUCUUUAAAUGAGUGUUGUGGUAAGUUCCAUCUUUUAGAAGUUUAUAAGUAGAUUCAACAAUCAUUUGAUUGUUAUACAAUAAUGUGGUAAUUAUCAUUUGUUCUUAUUAAUUUCAUUAUUGUAUCAAUAUUUUACUAGUAUUUUAAUACCAUAAUAUUUUUUCAAUCUUUUGAUUGUUUUGCAUGAAUAAGUUCAACAACAACUUUUUUAUUGAAUAUCAUCAUAGAGAAACGUUAGCAUAAGUAGAUAUCCCAUGGUGUAGGGCGUUUAUGUCGCAACUUUUACUGUUAUCCCUAGCUGAUAGUUCACGUAGUUCUUGCCUAUGCAGC